GAUGAACGCUAGCUACAGGCUUAACACAUGCAAGUCGAGGGGCAGCAUGAACUUAGCUUGCUAAGUUUGAUGGCGACCGGCGCACGGGUGCGUAACGCGUAUCCAACCUUCCCGUUACUCAGGUAUAGCCUUGCGAAAGUAAGAUUAAUCCCUGAUGAUAUAUGUUUACUGCAUGGUGAUCAUAUUAAAGAUUUAUCGGUAACGGAUGGGGAUGCGUUCCAUUAGGUAGUUGGUGAGGUAACGGCUCACCAAGCCCGCGAUGGAUAGGGGUUCUGAGAGGAAGGUCCCCCACACUGGAACUGAGACACGGUCCAGACUCCUACGGGAGGCAGCAGUGAGGAAUAUUGGUCAAUGGUCGGAAGACUGAACCAGCCAAGUAGCGUGAGGGAUGACUGCCCUAUGGGUCUUAAACUUCUUUUGUAAGGGAGCAAUAAGUCUCACGUGUGGGAUGAUGAGAGUACCUUACGAUAAGCAUCGGCUAACU
Molecule: ribosomal RNA, 484 nt
Filed under: uncultured bacterium
Lineage: Bacteria
Description: bacterial SSU rRNA
Rfam family: Bacterial small subunit ribosomal RNA
Source: RNAcentral